UACGUAGGGGGCAAGCGUUGUCCGGAUUUAUUGGGCGUAAAGCGCGCGUAGGCGGCGCGGUAUGUCGUGCGUGAAAUCUCCCGGCUUAACUGGGAGGGGCCGUGCGAAACUGCCGGGCUUGAGGUCAGAAGGGGAAAGUGGAAUUCCGGGUGUAGUGGGUGGAAUACGUAGAGUAUCCGGAGGAACACCAGCGGCGAAGGCGGCAUUUCUGGU
RNAcentral lists this ribosomal RNA (213 nucleotides) under uncultured bacterium. RNAcentral's name for it is "partial 16S ribosomal RNA". It matches the Rfam family "Bacterial small subunit ribosomal RNA", at positions 524 to 733 of the family's 1533-position model. The record is from RNAcentral.